Long non-coding RNA from Papaver somniferum (opium poppy), 753 nucleotides. RefSeq lists it as uncharacterized. The record is from RefSeq and is a predicted model, not a curated record. The transcript has 2 exons. Lineage: Eukaryota; Viridiplantae; Streptophyta; Magnoliopsida; Ranunculales; Papaveraceae.
UGUUACAUCGUCAAUCAUCGUGAUGCAAAUCAAUUUGAGAAAUCACUUCGUGUUGACGUCUUUGGUUUCAGAGCAAGUAUAUUGGACGAAAUGACGAUCACCUCACCCUGAGUCUGAGCGUCUGUUUCCUAUAGAACUGGAACAGGACAUACCUGAGCGAAUCAGAACCAAAACUUAAAUAGGAAAUCAAAGAACCGGUUUUUAGAGACACUAGUAUCUUCUAGGUUGUCAAUGUCAACUAGACUGGACAGGCAGUUCAGUAAGUGCAGUCGGGUCUCACCACAGUUUCUGAAGAAAGAAGAAGAAGAAGAUGUUCAAAGACAAGAGCCCUGGUUUGAAGAUUCUCUGGGUUUGGACUUUUGGAACUGCUGCAGUUUUAGUUACAAGUGUUAUGAAAACGAGAAUACAAGAUAUGGAGAAGUUCAUGUACACUGAAGAACAACAACAGCCGCCUGUUAGUCCAACUGAACCGACGACAUUCGUGGAUGAUGUGCCGAAGCAGGACUCGUCUUAGGUUGGGUUUCUAUGUACUUCACCUGGUUGAAUGAAUUUGUGUGUUCCCUUUUAUUAAUAAACUAGCCUUCAUUCAGUUCAAUUUAGUUUCUUUUGUUUGCAAAUUUUGAAUAUUUAGUUGCAUUUUUAUUUUGGGAGGAUUUGUUAUGUAUUUCUAGUUGCGUGCGCAUUGUUUGUGAUUUGUCUCAAUAUGAUUGUGUAUUGUAUGAAUUGAUAGGAACUGAAACCGAUUUCUUUCUA